This is a non-coding RNA of Podarcis lilfordi (Lilford's wall lizard), 76 nucleotides long. Lineage: Eukaryota; Metazoa; Chordata; Lepidosauria; Squamata; Lacertidae. The record is from the annotation of a GenBank genome assembly.
GCCUGUGGGAUAGCACAGUCGGUAGAGCAAGAGGCUUUUAAUCUCAAGGUCGUGGGUUUGAGACCCACCUUGGGCA